GCAGCAGGCACGCAAAUUACCCACUCCCGGCACGGGGAGGUAGUGACAAAAAAUAACGAUACGGGACUCUAUUGAGGCCCCGUAAUCGGAAUGAGUACACUUUAAAUCCUUUAACAAGGAUCCAUUGGAGGGCAAGUCUGGUGCCAGCAGCCGCGGUAAUUCCAGCUCCAAUAGCGUAUAUUAAAGUUGUUGCGGUUAAAAAGCUCGUAGUUGGUUCUGCGUGCCGCGCUGUCGGUUCGCCGCCUGUCGGUGUUACUGGCAUGUCGCGGCAUGUCCUGUCGGUGGUGAAUAAGAUCCCCGGUGCCUGCGUAGGCUUCUAUAGCUGAAGUAUGGUGCCGUACGGAUGUUAUUUGCCGAUUUCUCCUACUCCGGUGCUCUUAAACGAGUGUCGAGGUAGGCCGACACGUUCACUUUGAACAAAUUAGAGUGCUUAAAGCAGGCUGAAAUAUCUGCCUGAAUAGUGGUGCAUGGAAUAAUAAAAUAGGACCUCGGUUCUAUUUUAUUGGUUUUAGGAAUAUGAGGUAAUGAUCAAUGUGGACUGGCGGGGGCAUUCGUAUUGCGACGUUAGAGGUGAAAUUCUUGGAUCGUCGCAAGACGUACUAAAGCGAAAGCAUUUGCCAAGUAUGUCUUAAUUGAUCAAGAACGAAAGUUAGAGGCUCGAAGGCGAUCAGAUACCGCCCUAGUUCUAACCAUAAACGAUGCCAGCCAGCGAUCCGCCGAUGUUCCAAUAAUGACUCGGCGGGGAGCUUCUACCCGGGAAACCAAAGCUUUUGGGUUCCGGGGGAAGUAUGGUUGCAAAGCUGAAACUUAAAGGAAUUGACGGAAGGGCACCACCAGGAGUGGAGCCUGCGGCUUAAUUUGACUCAACACGGGAAAUCUCACCAGACCAGGACAUUGGAAGGAUUGACAGAUUGAUAGCUCUUUCUUGAUUCAGUGGGUAGUGGUGCAUGGCCGUUC
This 957-nucleotide ribosomal RNA is filed under the name Racelda sp. CW-2009. RNAcentral's name for it is "SSU rRNA". It matches the Rfam family "Eukaryotic small subunit ribosomal RNA", at positions 425 to 1293 of the family's 1831-position model. The record is from RNAcentral. Lineage: Eukaryota; Metazoa; Arthropoda; Insecta; Hemiptera; Reduviidae.